AGAGUUUGAUCCUGGCUCAGGAUGAACGCUAGCGGCGUGCCUAACACAUGCAAGUCGAACGUGAUAGAGACUUCGGUCUCUUGAAAGUGGCGGACGGGUGAGUAAGACGUAGGUGACCUGCCUCGGAGUGGGGGAUAACCACUGGAAACGGUGGCUAAUACCGCAUGACUUAUCGUGAAUGGGAAUUGCGAUAAGAAAGCUUUAGUGCUUUGAGAGGGGCCUACGGCCGAUUAGCUAGUUGGUAAGGUAACGGCUCACCAAGGCGAUGAUCGGUAGCUGGUCUGAGAGGACGAUCAGCCACACGGGAACUGAGACACGGUCCCGACUCCUACGGGGGGCAGCAGUGAGGAAUAUUCGGCAAUGGAGGCAACUCUGGCCGAGCAACGCCGCGUGGAGGAUGACGGUUUUUGGAUUGUAAACUCCUUUUCGGUGGGAAGAGUGAGGACGGUACCACCGGAAUAAGUCACGGCUAACUACGUGCCAGCAGCCGCGGUAAUACGUAGGUGGCAAGCGUUAUCCGGAAUUACUGGGCGUAAAGCGCACGCAGGUGGCUUUUUAAGUCUGACGUGAAAGCUCCUGGCUUAACUGGGAGAAGUCGUUGGAGACUGGGAGGCUUGAGGCGAGGAGAGGGGUGUAGAAUUCCCGGUGUAGUGGUGGAAUGCGUAGAGAUCGGGAGGAAUACCAGAGGCGAAAGCGGCACCCUGGCCUUGGCCUGACGCUCAGGUGCGAAAGCGUGGGGAGCGAACGGGAUUAGAUACCCCGGUAGUCCACGCGGUAAACGAUGAAUACUAGGUGUAGGUGGUGUCAAAACUAUCUGUACCGCAGCCAACGCGAUAAGUAUUCCGCCUGGGGAGUACGACCGCAAGGUUAAAACUCAAAGGAAUUGACGGGGCCCGCACAAGCAGCGGAGCGUGUGGUUUAAUUCGAUGCAACGCGAGAACCUUACCUAGGUUUGACGUAGUGGUAGUAGUGAGGUGAAAGCGGAACGACCCUUCGGGGAGCCAUUACAGGUGCUGCAUGGCUGUCGUCAGCUCGUGUCGUGAGAUGGUGGGUUAAGUUCCCGCAACAGGCGCAACCCUCGUCGCUAGGUAUACGUGUUCUAGCGAGACCGCCGGUAUCAACCCGAAGAAGGUGGGGAUGACGUCAAGUCAGCAUGGCCUUUAUAUCCGGGGCUACACACACGCUACAAUGGUCGGUACAAUGGGCAGCCAAACCGCGAGGUGGAGCGAAUCUCAUCAAAGCCGAUCGUAGUUCAGAUUGUAGGCUGCAACCCGCCUGCAUGAAGCCGGAGUUGCUAGUAAACGCAGGUCAGCAUUACUGCGUUGAAUACGUUCCCGGGCCUUGUACACACCGCCCGUCACGUCAUGGAAGUCGGUAACACCUGAAGUCGGUGACCCAACCGCAAGGAGGGAGCUGCCUAGGGUGGGGCCGAUGACUGGGACGAAGUCGUAACAAGGUAACC
RNAcentral lists this ribosomal RNA (1462 nucleotides) under uncultured bacterium. Its description in RNAcentral is "bacterial SSU rRNA". It matches the Rfam family "Bacterial small subunit ribosomal RNA". The record is from RNAcentral.